Molecule: transfer RNA, 71 nt
Filed under: Candidatus Kaiserbacteria bacterium
Lineage: Bacteria; Candidatus Kaiseribacteriota
Description: tRNA-Met
Rfam family: tRNA
About the family: Transfer RNA (tRNA) molecules are approximately 80 nucleotides in length. Their secondary structure includes four short double-helical elements and three loops (D, anti-codon, and T loops). Further hydrogen bonds mediate the characteristic L-shaped molecular structure. tRNAs have two regions of fundamental functional importance: the anti-codon, which is responsible for specific mRNA codon recognition, and the 3' end, to which the tRNAs corresponding amino acid is attached (by aminoacyl-tRNA synthetases). tRNAs cope with the degeneracy of the genetic code in two manners: having more than one tRNA (with a specific anti-codon) for a particular amino acid; and 'wobble' base-pairing, i.e. permitting non-standard base-pairing at the 3rd anti-codon position.
Source: RNAcentral
AGCGGGGUAGAGCAGAGGUAGCUCGAGAGGCUCAUAACCUCUAGGCCCUGGUUCGAUUCCAGGCCCCGCGA